UGGGUUGUGGCUCAGUGGUAGAGCACUUGCCUUGCACACGGGAGGCGCUGGGUUUGAGCCUCAGCAUCACAC
Non-coding RNA from Ictidomys tridecemlineatus (thirteen-lined ground squirrel), 72 nucleotides. Lineage: Eukaryota; Metazoa; Chordata; Mammalia; Rodentia; Sciuridae. The record is from Rfam.